GAGAAACCGGGGCUCACGGCCUGGGCAGCGGGACGGGCGGAGUCGUCCUCACCUGUGCUGGGGACCCUGUGGGAGCAGCAGGCUUCCGAGCACGUGCUGGACCCCGGCGUCUCCGGCUGCACCGAGUGGUCAGGACAUUGAGGCCGGGUCAGGGAGCGUGAGAUACCGGGACGAGCGGGCCCAGGGCUGAGCCCAGCGGCGUCCGGGUGGGCGGUGGCGUUGAGAUGGGAAUUGGGAAUUGCACCGGUGGUCUCAGGAGGAUGGAAAACCCAAGCAGCAGCUGCACCAGGACCGAGGCAAAGGGACCGCAGUUUAACAGAAAACCCAAAACGAGAGCGAGAAAACGGCCAAACACCCGUGCGAGGAGGAAACCCAAGCUCCGCCGAGCGCGGCGGGUCUGUGCCUUCGCUUCGCUUCCAGCCUCUCGCUUCCUUCUGACCCGACCCCGAGUUCUUUCUCCGGACGGUGUCGAGAACCCGGGCGCCGGCUGGGGCUGGAGUCUCGCUGGCCUCGGAGCGCCCCCGAGCCCUCGGGCGACAGCGAGGGAACGCCAGGCCCCCGGACGCGACCCAC
This 573-nucleotide long non-coding RNA is filed under the name Homo sapiens (human). RNAcentral's name for it is "non-protein coding lnc-PGGHG-1:13". Lineage: Eukaryota; Metazoa; Chordata; Mammalia; Primates; Hominidae. The record is from RNAcentral.